Molecule: transfer RNA, 92 nt
Filed under: Synergistes sp. 3_1_syn1
Lineage: Bacteria; Thermotogati; Synergistota; Synergistia; Synergistales; Synergistaceae
Also listed under: 7 other names
Description: tRNA-Ser
Rfam family: tRNA
About the family: Transfer RNA (tRNA) molecules are approximately 80 nucleotides in length. Their secondary structure includes four short double-helical elements and three loops (D, anti-codon, and T loops). Further hydrogen bonds mediate the characteristic L-shaped molecular structure. tRNAs have two regions of fundamental functional importance: the anti-codon, which is responsible for specific mRNA codon recognition, and the 3' end, to which the tRNAs corresponding amino acid is attached (by aminoacyl-tRNA synthetases). tRNAs cope with the degeneracy of the genetic code in two manners: having more than one tRNA (with a specific anti-codon) for a particular amino acid; and 'wobble' base-pairing, i.e. permitting non-standard base-pairing at the 3rd anti-codon position.
Source: RNAcentral
GGAGAGGUGUCUGAGCGGUCGAAGGAGCUCGCCUGGAAAGUGAGUGAAGGGGUCAAACUCUUCCAUGGGUUCAAAUCCCAUCCUCUCCGCCA